Molecule: long non-coding RNA, 530 nt
Organism: Cyprinodon tularosa
Lineage: Eukaryota; Metazoa; Chordata; Actinopteri; Cyprinodontiformes; Cyprinodontidae
Exons: 3
Source: RefSeq, a predicted model, not a curated record
CACAGCUCUACUGCCUCACUUCCAACCCACCAUUCAUAUAUACAUGAAUACAAACACAGCCGUGGAAAUGGGCCAAAGUUGAGCUGCAAUGGAUGAUUGACUUGCCUUGGAAGAUGGAUGCCUAUGUGAAAAAAAAGGACCCCACUAAAUGAUGUUGCCACCACUGGGUUUCAUUGUGCAGAUGCUGUUUUUGGGAAGGUGGUCUCUUCUGGAUAAUUCAAUGAUCCCUGAUGAUAAACUUAAAAAUAUUCACAGUUCAGACGUCUCAUUUUUAAUAGCAAAAAGCAAACAAACAACUAAGAUGUAUUCCUUUCCUUUCACAAACCAGUGCACUAGUCGGUGUUUAUGUAUCACACAACACCCCUAAAUUACUUUAAAGUCUGUUGUUAUAAAAGUGGAAUGUAAGAAAUUUCAGUGGUAAGGCUACUUUUACAAGCCACUGUAGAUGUAACAGGACUCCUGCAAACUAAUCAAAGCUUCUUAGGUCAGUAAAAUAGAAAUAGAAAGAAAACGUAAAAAAAAAAACAAUA